UGGGGGGUUCCGAAAAAAACGAUUUGAAAUUCCCAGGGUUCAACCUUUGAACUGCAUUUUUAACUGCCCGAGUUAGAGUAUGUCAGAGGGGCGUAUAAAUUCCCACGAGAAGCAAUGAAAUGCUAGAUUGUGGAGGAAUACCGAUGGCGAAGGCAGCCCCCUGCGAUAAUACUGACGCUCAGACACGAAAGCGUGGCGAGCAAACAGGAUUAGAUACCCUGGUAGUCCACGCCCUAAACGAUGUCAACUACCGCGGGGCCGUUAGGCCCCUUGUAGCACAACUAACGACGGAAGUUGACCAGCCGCAGGGAGUACGGUUGGCACGAUUAAAACUCAAAAGAAUUGACGCGGACACCCACACACGCUGUAUGAUCUGGGAAAACGAGACAAAACGAGAAAAACUUUACAUACCCUUGACAUGUCUGGAAAGCCGAAGAGAUUUGGCCGUGCUCGCAAGAGAACCGGAACACAGGUGCUGCAUGGCUGUCGUCAGCUCGUGUCGUGGAGUUGGGUUAAGUCCCGCAACGAGCGCAACCCUUGUCAUUAGUUGCUACGCAAGAGCACUCUAAUGAGACUGCCGGUGACAAACCGGAGGAAGGUGGGGAUGACGUCAAGUCCUCAUGGCCCUUAUGUAGGGCUUCACACGUCAUACAAUGGUCGGGACAGAGGGUCGCCAACCCGCGAGGGGGAGCCAAUCUCAGAAACCCGAUCGUAGUCCGGAUCGCAGUCUGCAACUCGACUGCGUGAAGUCGGAAUCGAGUAAUCGCGGAUCAGAAUGUCGCGGUGAAUACGUUCCCGGGUCUUGUACACACCGCCCGUCACACCAUGGGAGUGGGUUUCACCAGAAGUAGGUAGCCUAACCGUAAGGAGGGCGCUACCAUAGUG
RNAcentral lists this ribosomal RNA (885 nucleotides) under Alcaligenes faecalis. Its description in RNAcentral is "bacterial SSU rRNA". It matches the Rfam family "Bacterial small subunit ribosomal RNA", at positions 570 to 1464 of the family's 1533-position model. The record is from RNAcentral. Lineage: Bacteria; Pseudomonadati; Pseudomonadota; Betaproteobacteria; Burkholderiales; Alcaligenaceae.